CUUGGUAUUGGUAGAGCAGGCGGCUGUAGUCCUUAUUCAGGACGUUGGCCCACUUCAGGUCGAACGCCAGAUCGCUGCUGGCCUGCCAGGUC
This 92-nucleotide transfer RNA is filed under the name Pseudomonas sp. NCCP-436. Its description in RNAcentral is "tRNA-Asn". Lineage: Bacteria; Pseudomonadati; Pseudomonadota; Gammaproteobacteria; Pseudomonadales; Pseudomonadaceae. The record is from RNAcentral.